Molecule: ribosomal RNA, 492 nt
Filed under: uncultured bacterium
Lineage: Bacteria
Description: partial 16S ribosomal RNA
Rfam family: Bacterial small subunit ribosomal RNA
Source: RNAcentral
AGUGAACGCUGGCGGUAGGCCUAACACAUGCAAGUCGAACGGCAGCACAGUAAGAGCUUGCUCUUACGGGUGGCGAGUGGCGGACGGGUGAGGAAUACAUCGGAAUCUACUUUUUCGUGGGGGAUAACGUAGGGAAACUUACGCUAAUACCGCAUACGACCUACGGGUGAAAGCAGGGGAUCUUCGGACCUUGCGCGAUUGAAUGAGCCGAUGUCGGAUUAGCUAGUUGGCGGGGUAAAGGCCCACCAAGGCGACGAUCCGUAGCUGGUCUGAGAGGAUGAUCAGCCACACGGGAACUGAGACACGGUCCAGACUCCUAAGGGAGGCAGCAGUGGGGAAUAUUGGACAAUGGGCGCAAGCCUGAUCCAGCCAUACCGCGUGGGUGAAGAAGGCCUUCGGGUUGUAAAGCCCUUUUGUUGGGAAAGAAAAGCAGCAGGUUAAUACCCCGCUGUUCUGACGGUACCCAAAGAAGAAGCACCGGCUAACUUCGUG